UCAGGCCUAACACAUGCAAGUCGAGCGCGCCUUUCGGGGUGAGCGGCGGACGGGUUAGUAACGCGUGGGAAUAUGCCCUUUGGUACGGAAUAGCCUCUGGAAACGGAGAGUAAUACCGUAUGAGCCCUUCGGGGGAAAGAUUUAUCGCCAAAGGAUUAGCCCGCGUUAGAUUAGGUAGUUGGUGGGGUAAUGGCCUACCAAGCCUACGAUCUAUAGCUGGUUUUAGAGGAUGAUCAGCAACACUGGGACUGAGACACGGCCCAGACUCCUACGGGAGGCAGCAGUGGGGAAUCUUGGACAAUGGGGGCAACCCUGAUCCAGCCAUGCCGCGUGAGUGAUGAAGGCCUUAGGGUCGUAAAGCUCUUUCGCCUGUGAAGAUAAUGACGGUAGCAGGUAAAGAAACCCCGGCUAACUCCGUGCCAGCAGCCGCGGUAAUACGGAGGGGGUUAGCGUUGUUCGGAAUUACUGGGCGUAAAGCGCACGUAGGCGGAUCGGAAAGUUGGGGGUGAAAUCCCGGGGCUCAACCCCGGAACUGCCUCCAAAACUAUCGGUCUAGAGUUCGAGAGAGGCGAGUGGAAUUCCGAGUGUAGAGGUGAAAUUCGUAGAUAUUCGGAGGAACACCAGUGGCGAAGGCGGCUCACUGGCUCGAUACUGACGCUGAGGUGCGAAAGUGUGGGGAGCAAACAGGAUUAGAUACCCU
Molecule: ribosomal RNA, 700 nt
Filed under: uncultured bacterium
Lineage: Bacteria
Description: bacterial SSU rRNA
Rfam family: Bacterial small subunit ribosomal RNA
Source: RNAcentral